AGACCAAACGGCUUCGUUCGCAUCUUUCUCUGCCGCCAUUAUGGAACUACAACUCAAACUAGCGCACGACCUCAACGUCAUCGUUCUCAGCCACUCCCUCUGUUUGCUGAUUGGACCGCCAAAUAUUUGGCCGGAGAAAACCCAAGAAUAUACCA
Long non-coding RNA from Sander lucioperca (pikeperch), 155 nucleotides. RefSeq lists it as uncharacterized. The record is from RefSeq and is a predicted model, not a curated record. The transcript has 3 exons. Lineage: Eukaryota; Metazoa; Chordata; Actinopteri; Perciformes; Percidae.